Molecule: ribosomal RNA, 1372 nt
Filed under: uncultured bacterium
Lineage: Bacteria
Description: bacterial SSU rRNA
Rfam family: Bacterial small subunit ribosomal RNA
Source: RNAcentral
GAUGAACGCUGGCGGCGUGCCUAAUACAUGCAAGUCGAGCGAACGGACGAGAAGCUUGCUUCUCUGAUGUUAGCGGCGGACGGGUGAGUAACACGUGGAUAACCUACCUAUAAGACUGGGAUAACUUCGGGAAACCGGAGCUAAUACCGGAUAAUAUUUUGAACCGCAUGGUUCAAAAGUGAAAGACGGUCUUGCUGUCACUUAUAGAUGGAUCCGCGCUGCAUUAGCUAGUUGGUAAGGUAACGGCUUACCAAGGCAACGAUGCAUAGCCGACCUGAGAGGGUGAUCGGCCACACUGGAACUGAGACACGGUCCAGACUCCUACGGGAGGCAGCAGUAGGGAAUCUUCCGCAAUGGGCGAAAGCCUGACGGAGCAACGCCGCGUGAGUGAUGAAGGUCUUCGGAUCGUAAAACUCUGUUAUUAGGGAAGAACAUAUGUGUAAGUAACUGUGCACAUCUUGACGGUACCUAAUCAGAAAGCCACGGCUAACUACGUGCCAGCAGCCGCGGUAAUACGUAGGUGGCAAGCGUUAUCCGGAAUUAUUGGGCGUAAAGCGCGCGUAGGCGGUUUUUUAAGUCUGAUGUGAAAGCCCACGGCUCAACCGUGGAGGGUCAUUGGAAACUGGAAAACUUGAGUGCAGAAGAGGAAAGUGGAAUUCCAUGUGUAGCGGUGAAAUGCGCAGAGAUAUGGAGGAACACCAGUGGCGAAGGCGACUUUCUGGUCUGUAACUGACGCUGAUGUGCGAAAGCGUGGGGAUCAAACAGGAUUAGAUACCCUGGUAGUCCACGCCGUAAACGAUGAGUGCUAAGUGUUAGGGGGUUUCCGCCCCUUAGUGCUGCAGCUAACGCAUUAAGCACUCCGCCUGGGGAGUACGACCGCAAGGUUGAAACUCAAAGGAAUUGACGGGGACCCGCACAAGCGGUGGAGCAUGUGGUUUAAUUCGAAGCAACGCGAAGAACCUUACCAAAUCUUGACAUCCUUUGACAACUCUAGAGAUAGAGCCUUCCCCUUCGGGGGACAAAGUGACAGGUGGUGCAUGGUUGUCGUCAGCUCGUGUCGUGAGGUGUUGGGUUAAGCCCCGCAACGAGCGCAACCCUUAAGCUUAGUUGCCAUCAUUAAGUUGGGCACUCUAAGUUGACUGCCGGUGACAAACCGGAGGAAGGUGGGGAUGACGUCAAAUCAUCAUGCCCCUUAUGAUUUGGGCUACACACGUGCUACAAUGGACAAUACAAAGGGCAGCGAAACCGCGAGGUCAAGCAAAUCCCAUAAAGUUGUUCUCAGUUCGGAUUGUAGUCUGCAACUCGACUACAUGAAGCUGGAAUCGCUAGUAAUCGUAGAUCAGCAUGCUACGGUGAAUACGUUCCCGGGUCU